UUUUCUUUCUUUCUUCCUCGCGUCUCAAUUUGCUACUGCAAAGCAAAUACUCAUUCCUUCCUUCAAAUCCCCAUUCUUCUCUCUUCCUUCAACCAUUGUUCGUUCUGAUUGAACUUUGCUAGGGUUUCAACCUCUCUCACUCUCAGUAAGCAAAGGUUGUAUCCUUAAUGAGAGACCAUCAUCACCAGACUCUAAAACAAAUUUUUCUUUCCAAAUGGCAUUGGUUGUAAUGUGUGGGCAGCCAUGCAGUGGGAAGUCCAAAGCUGCACGCUGUCUUGCCGAAGCUCUCAAAGAAUCAGAACCAAAACAUCAAGUGAGAAUCAUAGGAUGCGAGGAACCUUCCUAAAAUUGACAGGGCAAACAAGUUUAAGUGGUCCACCACCUCCUUCUGAUGCAGAUAGUGCAAAAAGAAUGUUCAUUGACUACUUGAACAGGGAACUGGGAACAUCCUGAAGAUAUGAUGAUAGUCUUGCAAUUCAGCUUAAAAGAUGCCAUAUUUGUGUGAUUAGAUCCUGAGUUGUUUUAUAUUUUACCUAGAGCAUUAUUAUUGAAUAAACUGGUUUUUGAAUUCCCUCUUUAUUCUACUAUCAUUUAAUUU
Glycine soja is the source of this 598-nucleotide long non-coding RNA. RefSeq lists it as uncharacterized. The transcript is spliced from 2 exons. The record is from RefSeq and is a predicted model, not a curated record. Lineage: Eukaryota; Viridiplantae; Streptophyta; Magnoliopsida; Fabales; Fabaceae.